GGUUAAGCGACUAAGCGUACACGGUGGAUGCCCUGGCAGUCAGAGGCGAUGAAGGGCGUGCUAAUCUGCGAUAAGCGCCGGUAAGGUGAUAUGAACCGUUAUAACCGGCGAUACCCGAAUGGGGAAACCCAGUGUGAUUCGUCACACUAUCAUUAACUGAAUCCAUAGGUUAAUGAGGCGAACCGGGGGAACUGAAACAUCUAAGUACCCCGAGGAAAAGAAAUCAACCGAGAUUCCCCCAGUAGCGGCGAGCGAACGGGGAGGAGCCCAGAGCCUGAAUCAGCAUGUGUGUUAGUGGAAGCGUCUGGAAAGGCGCGCGAUACAGGGUGACAGCCCCGUACACAAAAGCGCAUGUGCUGUGAGCUCGAUGAGUAGGGCGGGACACGUGGUAUCCUGUCUGAAUAUGGGGGGACCAUCCUCCAAGGCUAAAUACUCCUGACUGACCGAUAGUGAACCAGUACCGUGAGGGAAAGGCGAAAAGAACCCCGGCGAGGGGAGUGAAAAAGAACCUGAAACCGUGUACGUACAAGCAGUGGGAGCACAGGUUUACCUGUGUGACUGCGUACCUUUUGUAUAAUGGGUCAGCGACUUAUAUUCUGUAGCAAGGUUAACCGAAUAGGGGAGCCGGAGGGAAACCGAGUCUUAACCGGGCGUUAAGUUGCAGGGUAUAGACCCGAAACCCGGUGAUCUAGCCAUGGGCAGGUUGAAGGUUGGGUAACACUAACUGGAGGACCGAACCGACUAAUGUUGAAAAAUUAGCGGAUGACCUGUGGCUGGGGGUGAAAGGCCAAUCAAACCGGGAGAUAGCUGGUUCUCCCCGAAAGCUAUUUAGGUAGCGCCUCGUGAAUUCAUCUCCGGGGGUAGAGCACUGUUUCGGCUAGGGGGCCAUCCCGGCUUACCAACCCGAUGCAAACUGCGAAUACCGGAGAAUGUUAUCACGGGAGACACACGGCGGGUGCUAACGUCCGUCGUGAAGAGGGAAACAACCCAGACCGCCAGCUAAGGUCCCAAAGUCAUGGUUAAGUGGGAAACGAUGUGGGAAGGCCCAGACAGCCAGGAUGUUGGCUUAGAAGCAGCCAUCAUUUAAAGAAAGCGUAAUAGCUCACUGGUCGAGUCGGCCUGCGCGGAAGAUGUAACGGGGCUAAACCAUGCACCGAAGCUGCGGCAGCGAACGUAUCACUUAAAGCGAUUCAGCGGGUUACGAUUGACGGAGCGAAGCGACGUCAAAGCGUAUACAAAGUCGAGUCGGUUUAAGGAUACGUUCGUUGGGUAGGGGAGCGUUCUGUAAGCCUGCGAAGGUGGCCUGUGAGGGUUGCUGGAGGUAUCAGAAGUGCGAAUGCUGACAUAAGUAACGAUAAAGCGGGUGAAAAGCCCGCUCGCCGGAAGACCAAGGGUUCCUGUCCAACGUUAAUCGGGGCAGGGUGAGUCGACCCCUAAGGCGAGGCCGAAAGGCGUAGUCGAUGGGAAACGGGUUAAUAUUCCCGUACUUGGUGUUACUGCGAAGGGGGGACGGAGAAGGCUAUGUUGGCCGGGCGACGGUUGUCCCGGUUUAAGCGUGUAGGUGUGUGUUCCAGGUAAAUCCGGUUCACUUUAACACUGAGGCGUGAUGACGAGGCACUACGGUGCUGAAGUAACAAAUGCCCUGCUUCCAGGAAAAGCCUCUAAGCAUCAGGUAACAUCAAAUCGUACCCCAAACCGACACAGGUGGUCAGGUAGAGAAUACCAAGGCGCUUGAGAGAACUCGGGUGAAGGAACUAGGCAAAAUGGUGCCGUAACUUCGGGAGAAGGCACGCUGACACGUAGGUGAAGUGAUUUACUCACGGAGCUGAAGUCAGUCGAAGAUACCAGCUGGCUGCAACUGUUUAUUAAAAACACAGCACUGUGCAAACACGAAAGUGGACGUAUACGGUGUGACGCCUGCCCGGUGCCGGAAGGUUAAUUGAUGGGGUCAGCGCAAGCGAAGCUCCUGAUCGAAGCCCCGGUAAACGGCGGCCGUAACUAUAACGGUCCUAAGGUAGCGAAAUUCCUUGUCGGGUAAGUUCCGACCUGCACGAAUGGCGUAAUGAUGGCCAGGCUGUCUCCACCCGAGACUCAGUGAAAUUGAACUCGCUGUGAAGAUGCAGUGUACCCGCGGCAAGACGGAAAGACCCCGUGAACCUUUACUAUAGCUUGACACUGAACAUUGAGCCUUGAUGUGUAGGAUAGGUGGGAGGCUUUGAAGUGUGGACGCCAGUCUGCAUGGAGCCGACCUUGAAAUACCACCCUUUAAUGUUUGAUGUUCUAACGUGGACCCGUUACCCGGGUUGCGGACAGUGUCUGGUGGGUAGUUUGACUGGGGCGGUCUCCUCCUAAAGAGUAACGGAGGAGCACGAAGGUUGGCUAAUCCUGGUCGGACAUCAGGAGGUUAGUGCAAUGGCAUAAGCCAGCUUGACUGCGAGCGUGACGGCGCGAGCAGGUGCGAAAGCAGGUCAUAGUGAUCCGGUGGUUCUGAAUGGAAGGGCCAUCGCUCAACGGAUAAAAGGUACUCCGGGGAUAACAGGCUGAUACCGCCCAAGAGUUCAUAUCGACGGCGGUGUUUGGCACCUCGAUGUCGGCUCAUCACAUCCUGGGGCUGAAGCAGGUCCCAAGGGUAUGGCUGUUCGCCAUUUAAAGUGGUACGCGAGCUGGGUUUAGAACGUCGUGAGACAGUUCGGUCCCUAUCUGCCGUGGGCGCUGGAGAACUGAGGGGGGCUGCUCCUAGUACGAGAGGACCGGAGUGGACGCAUCACUGGUGUUCGGGUUGUCAUGCCAAUGGCACUGCCCGGUAGCUAAAUGCGGAAGAGAUAAGUGCUGAAAGCAUCUAAGCACGAAACUUGCCCCGAGAUGAGUUCUCCCUGAGACUUAGAGUCUCCUGAAGGAACGUUGAAGACGACGACGUUGAUAGGCCGGGUGUGUAAGCGCAGCGAUGCGUUGAGCUAACCGGUACUAAUGAACCGUGAGGCUUAACCUUAC
This 2991-nucleotide ribosomal RNA is filed under the name Salmonella enterica subsp. enterica serovar Pullorum str. 19945. RNAcentral's name for it is "bacterial LSU rRNA". It matches the Rfam family "Bacterial large subunit ribosomal RNA". The record is from RNAcentral. Lineage: Bacteria; Pseudomonadati; Pseudomonadota; Gammaproteobacteria; Enterobacterales; Enterobacteriaceae. RNAcentral also lists the same sequence under 1 other name.